CCUGGACUGUUUUAUCAGACCUAUCAUCUCCUACAGGGGUCAGAGGUCGUUACACAUACAGAUGAUGGGGAUCCUGGACUGUUUUAUCAGACCUAUCAUCUCCUACAGGGGUCAGAGGUCAUUACACAUACAGAUGAUGGGGAUCCUGGACUGUUUAAUCAGACCUAUCAUCUCCUACAGGGGUCAGAGGUCAUUACACAUACAGAUGAUGGGGAUCCUGGACUGUUUAAUCAGACCUAUCAUCUCCUACAGGGGUCAGAGGUCAUUAUAGAUGGGGAUC
Molecule: long non-coding RNA, 280 nt
Organism: Oncorhynchus keta (chum salmon)
Lineage: Eukaryota; Metazoa; Chordata; Actinopteri; Salmoniformes; Salmonidae
Exons: 4
Source: RefSeq, a predicted model, not a curated record